RNAcentral lists this ribosomal RNA (496 nucleotides) under uncultured bacterium. Its description in RNAcentral is "partial 16S ribosomal RNA". It matches the Rfam family "Bacterial small subunit ribosomal RNA", at positions 32 to 507 of the family's 1533-position model. The record is from RNAcentral.
CUUAACUCUGGCGGCGUGCCUAAUACAUGCAAGUCGAGCGAACAGACGAGGAGCUUGCUCCUCUGACGUUAGCGGCGGACGGGUGAGUAACACGUGGAUAACCUACCUAUAAGACUGGGAUAACUUCGGGAAACCGGAGCUAAUACCGGAUAAUAUAUUGAACCGCAUGGUUCAAUAGUGAAAGACGGUUUUGCUGUCACUUAUAGAUGGAUCCGCGCCGCAUUAGCUAGUUGGUAAGGUAACGGCUUACCAAGGCAACGAUGCGUAGCCGACCUGAGAGGGUGAUCGGCCACACUGGAACUGAGACACGGUCCAGACUCCUACGGGAGGCAGCAGUAGGGAAUCUUCCGCAAUGGGCGAAAGCCUGACGGAGCAACGCCGCGUGAGUGAUGAAGGUCUUCGGAUCGUAAAACUCUGUUAUUAGGGAAGAACAAAUGUGUAAGUAACUAUGCACGUCUUGACGGUACCUAAUCAGAAAGCCACGGCUAACUACGUG